GUCUUCAUAGGUCCACACACGUCAGUGUGGAUGAGCUGAAGCUUUUGGCUGGCUCUCCAUGCUUGCCCUUUAGGAAAUGGUGGCCUGGAUUGCUUGCCAAGUUGACAUGUUUCACACAAUUGAAUCUCACCAUUCAAUGUAGGCAAUGCUUCAACCAUUUCCUUUUGUUUCAGAAUUGACAAGCCCUUUUGAUUGAAAUGGCCAAAUCUUUUAUGCCAAAGAUUUGAAAUAUCCUGAGUAGCACUCACAUAUGCAUGAUUAGAUACUUUAUCCCAGUCAACAACAAAGCUUCUGUUUUUCAUCUUUACACAGAACACUUGUUCUCCAGAAGGAUCAAAGAUAGUGCAUUUAUGAUCCUUAAACUGAAGAGAAUAGUUUUUCUCCAUCAUUUGUCCAACACUCAACAAAUUUUGACUGAUUUCAGAAAUUCUCCAUUGCCAACCUUUACUCUGGAUUUGUAAGAUUCAUCAAGGGUUUUGAACAUUCCAGCAUCAUUGCACAAAUGGUGUGUGCAUCCACUAUCGAUAAGCCAAGUAUCAGCUGAAUCAUUUGUUGAGAAACAAGUGACAGCAAAGAAUUGCUCCUCCUGUGUAUCAACUUCAUCCGCAAGUGAGUGCAGGGAGGAAACUUCUUCUGUUUUGAACCUUCACUGGUGCUGCCCCCUUCAUUUUUGCCUUUACUUCUCAGAUUAAGCAACUUCUUUCCUUUUCCAGCUUGUUGUUUUUGCACAUAAAAGGCUCCUUCAGUCAAUCUGUCUUGCCUGAUUGUUCUUCGUUGCUCUUGUGCUUGAAGAGCACUCAUUAGUUCACCUAAUGAGAUUUUACUGAGGUCCUUUGAUUCUUCCAGAGAGGAGAUUUUGGAUUCAAACCUCUCAGGAAGAGUCACAAGAACCUUCUCCACAAUCCUGCUGUCAGGAAAGUCUUCUCCAAGUAAUCUGAUGUUGUUGAUAAUUAGUGAAAUUCUAUCAGAAUACUUGGAGAUUGUUUCAUCUUCUUGCAUGUUAAGUGCCUCAAAAUCUCUCUUCAAAUUCAGCACUUGCAUUUGCCUUGUUCUGUCACUGCCUUGGUAUUCUUCUUUUAGUUUGUUCCAAGCCUCUUUGGCUGAAUUGCAUGCCAUAAUUCUGUAGAAAAUGCUUUCUGCCACAGAAUUCUGGAUGAUUGAUUUUGCUUUGGAUUUCUUUGCCUUUUCCUCACUGCUGAACUUGAUUUGAGCCAUAGUGGGAUUUGUUGGUAAGGGAGCUACUGGUUUGUCUUCGGAAACAAUUUCCCAAAGAUCAUAAGCUUCAAGAAAAGCUUGCAUCUUCACUGACCAAAUGUGGUAGUUUUCGCCAGUGAAUAUAACGGGGGAGUUUAAAAGUAGGUUGUUGGAUGUCAUUUUUGAGAUUUUGAAAAAAGGUGUUUUGGUCCUGUAAGAUCUAAGAGAGCUCUGAUACCACUGUUAAUAAUUAUGUUGCUGUGUUUUGUGCAGGUGAAGGGAUGCACAAUCAAGAGCAACAAUGCUGAGUAUUGAAGAACACGAACUACACACAAGGUGUUUGAUAAAAUGUCUCAGUGAGUAUUUCCUUAACUUCAUGUCUUUAAAUACAUGAGAAAACUUAACAAACUUUCCUAGUUAUCUGCCACUAACUCUGUAGUGGACAAUGUGCUACCACCAACUCUGUAGUGGACAAUGUGCUGCCACUAACUCAGCAACAACUUCAGAAAAACAAGGGAUUUACUUUGACCAAAUCAAAACAGAAAUGAAAGAAAAGAAAAUAGACAAUACUUGAUUGAAUAACAAUUAGACAAACUGAAACACUAGAGUUAAAAUGUCAAUUGUCU
Molecule: long non-coding RNA, 1820 nt
Organism: Populus trichocarpa (black cottonwood)
Lineage: Eukaryota; Viridiplantae; Streptophyta; Magnoliopsida; Malpighiales; Salicaceae
Exons: 3
Source: RefSeq, a predicted model, not a curated record